AUCAUCAAAUGGUAGUUGGUUUUCUCCUUAUCGGAGGGCUCCAAUUUCCCAAUGAUCUGUGCAAUGUGGACCAACUAGUCGUGGUCUUUUACUUGGAGACUAAGAAUCCAGUUAACCCCCUUGUGGGUGCCGCUGGUAGCUCCAAUGGUAUUUCGGUACCAAACUUUUAUAUAUACUAUUUUGUCAGAUAUGAAAACUGAGGUUUUUGGUCUUAAUUGACUAUCCUCUUUUAACUGUAGUUUUACUACAAAAACAACUUUUAGCAAUGGAUCUCUUGGUUUCCGCAUCGAUGAAGAGCGUAGCAAAUUGCGAUAACUAGUGCGAAUUGCAGACUUUGUGAAUCAUCGAGUUCUUGAACGCAUCUUGCACCUAGUGGUUUAUUCUACUAGGUACGGUUGCUUCAGUAUCACGAAACUCACCAACUCAACCUUUUGGGGUUGAAGAUGGAGCUGGACUUGCUAGGAUCGUUUUACGGUCUUGGUAGUCUGAAAUAGAGUAUACCAAAUGUCUUUUUGACCUUGUUUCAAAGAGAUUGGACUAUAAAGUGUACCUAGGUUCGGUAUGAUUUACCUAGUGUCGUCUGAUCUUUGGAGGUUAAUGUGAUUGGGAUUUUGGU
This 616-nucleotide unclassified non-coding RNA is filed under the name Thamnostylum piriforme. Its description in RNAcentral is "sequence contains ITS1, 5.8S rRNA gene, ITS2". The stretch from base 255 to 409 matches the Rfam family "5.8S ribosomal RNA". Lineage: Eukaryota; Fungi; Mucoromycota; Mucoromycetes; Mucorales; Lichtheimiaceae. The record is from RNAcentral.